Molecule: microRNA, 24 nt
Filed under: Amborella trichopoda
Lineage: Eukaryota; Viridiplantae; Streptophyta; Magnoliopsida; Amborellales; Amborellaceae
Description: atr-miR8607
Source: miRBase by way of RNAcentral
UUUGUAAUUCUAGAUCUCAGGCUC